RNAcentral lists this ribosomal RNA (18 nucleotides) under Potamogeton berchtoldii subsp. gemmiparus x Potamogeton vaseyi. RNAcentral's name for it is "partial 26S ribosomal RNA". The record is from RNAcentral. Lineage: Eukaryota; Viridiplantae; Streptophyta; Magnoliopsida; Alismatales; Potamogetonaceae.
CCACGUCAGGCUAGAUCA